RNAcentral lists this ribosomal RNA (477 nucleotides) under Sciomesa bua. Its description in RNAcentral is "partial 16S large subunit ribosomal RNA". The record is from RNAcentral. Lineage: Eukaryota; Metazoa; Arthropoda; Insecta; Lepidoptera; Noctuidae.
UGUCUUUUUGUAAAUAAUGUAAAGUCUAAUCUGCCCACUGAUUUGAUAAUUAAAGGGCUGCAGUAUAUUGACUGUACAAAGGUAGCAUAAUCAUUAGUCAUUUAAUUGAUGACUUGUAUGAAGGAUUGGAUGAGAUAUAAACUGUCUCUUGAUUAAGUAUAGAAUUUAAUUUUUUAAUUAAAAAGUUAAAAUAAUUUAAAAAGACGAGAAGACCCUAUAGAGUUUUAUAAAUAAAUUAAUUAAGAUUAUUUAUUAAAUUAAAAUUAAAAUUUAAAUGUUUAUUAUAUUGGGGUGAUAGAAAAAUAUAGUUAACUUUUUUUAUAAAAAUAACAUAUAUAAGUGAUUAAAUGAUCCAAUAUUAUUGAUUAUAAGAAAAAAUUACCUUAGGGAUAACAGCGUAAUUUUUUUUUUUAGUUCAUAUAAGAAAAAGAGUUUGCGUCCUCGAUGUUGGAUUAAGAUAAAAUUUAAAUGCAGAAG